This 354-nucleotide ribosomal RNA is filed under the name Amaurobioides africana. RNAcentral describes it as "partial 16S ribosomal RNA". The record is from RNAcentral. Lineage: Eukaryota; Metazoa; Arthropoda; Arachnida; Araneae; Anyphaenidae.
UUGUGCUAAGGUAGCAUAAUCAUUUGUCUUUUAAUUAAAGACUAGAAUAAAAGAUUAAACAUUUUAAUUAAUUUAUUUAAACUAAACAUUAAAUUUAUUCUAAAUGUAAAAAAACAUUUAUACAUUAGGAAGACGACAAGACCCUAUUAAACUUUACUUUAGUUUAACUGGGGCAGUUAAUUAAUAAUCAUUUUAAUUAUAUUAUUUAACAAAUAUGAUCCUAUAAAAUAGAUUACAUGAUCAAGUUACUAUAGGGAUAACAGUGUAAUAUUAAUUUAAAGACCUUAUUAAAAUAAAAGAUUACAACCUCGAUGUUGAAUUAAUAACCUAUAUUAAAAAUAAUAAAAGGAAGUC